UAACACAUGCAAGUCGAACGCUGAAGCCUAGCUUGCUGGGUGGAUGAGUGGCGAACGGGUGAGUAACACGUGAGUAACCUGCCCUCUUCUUUGGGAUAACGCCCGGAAACGGGUGCUAAUACUGGAUAUUCACUGGCCUUCGCAUGGGGGUUGGUGGAAAGGUUUUUUCUGGUGGGGGAUGGGCUCGCGGCCUAUCAGCUUGUUGGUGGGGUGAUGGCCUACCAAGGCUUUGACGGGUAGCCGGCCUGAGAGGGUGACCGGUCACAUUGGGACUGAGAUACGGCCCAGACUCCUACGGGAGGCAGCAGUGGGGAAUAUUGCACAAUGGGCGAAAGCCUGAUGCAGCGACGCCGCGUGAGGGAUGGAGGCCUUCGGGUUGUAAACCUCUUUCGCUCAUGGUCAAGCCGCAACUGUGGGUUGUGGUGAGGGUAGUGGGUAAAGAAGCGCCGGCUAACUACGUGCCAGCAGCCGCGGUAAUACGUAGGGCGCGAGCGUUGUCCGGAAUUAUUGGGCGUAAAGGGCUUGUAGGCGGUUGGUCGCGUCUGCCGUGAAAUCCUCUGGCUUAACUGGGGGCGUGCGGUGGGUACGGGCUGACUUGAGUGCGGUAGGGGAGACUGGAACUCCUGGUGUAGCGGUGGAAUGCGCAGAUAUCAGGAAGAACACCGGUGGCGAAGGCGGGUCUCUGGGCCGUUACUGAC
Molecule: ribosomal RNA, 698 nt
Filed under: uncultured Actinomycetes bacterium
Lineage: Bacteria; Bacillati; Actinomycetota; Actinomycetes
Description: bacterial SSU rRNA
Rfam family: Bacterial small subunit ribosomal RNA
Source: RNAcentral